ACAAAAAAGAAUAAUAACAUGAGGUACAAAUGCUUUCUUCAAACGAAGGAUGGUACCAGUUACAAACUCAGCAAAGUAUCUCAUGCACCACUUUUUCCCACAAGAGGCAGUUCGAGACAAGUCGCAUCAGAAAAUGUCUCCACACAGCUAGAAACAGGAACGCAAACUAAACACAAUCCGACAUGAUUGAUACAAUUAUAAAGCAUGAAGAGCGAAAAGGCUGAAACUGGAACGAGACGUAGCAGCUGUUCUCACACCCAGGCCUCAGCGUCUGGCAGGGCACCGCUCACUGCCUGCCUCGCGGCUUCGCCCUGCUCGCCUCCUCCGGGGUUGACGGGAACAGCUCCACGUACCUCGUCCCGAUGGUCAUCUUAUCCUUGCACAUGGCAGUCUUGGCAACCUCGGCCGUCGGGAACUCCACAAAGGCCUCGCCAGUGGCCUUGCCGUCCCCACGGUAAGCGAUGUGCACGUUCUCCUCCGACAGCUCGUACUCAACAAAAAACUUGAUGAUGUCCUCGAUGGUGGCGGAGUAGGGAAGCCCGCGCAGCUUCAGCACCUCAGUGUACUCCAUGCUGCUCUUGUCUUCAGACAGCCUCCUGGACCGCAGAGGAGGCGACGAGUGCCGGUGCUCCGGCUCAAGGAGAGGACCGCCCUGGUUCACCUCAGCGGCUAUUGCACUGUAGUAAUCCUGCUUCUUGCAUCUGAAAACCUCCACGUACCUCCUGCCCAUGUUCUGCCUGUUGCGGUGCAGCGCAAACUCCGCUUGCAUGGAUGAAGGGAAGACAACAAAG
This 791-nucleotide long non-coding RNA is filed under the name Triticum aestivum (bread wheat). Its description in RNAcentral is "long non-coding RNA (TAES_LNC009638)". The record is from RNAcentral. Lineage: Eukaryota; Viridiplantae; Streptophyta; Magnoliopsida; Poales; Poaceae.